Molecule: unclassified non-coding RNA, 507 nt
Filed under: Anelosimus domingo
Lineage: Eukaryota; Metazoa; Arthropoda; Arachnida; Araneae; Theridiidae
Description: partial contains 16S ribosomal RNA and tRNA-Leu (trnL)
Rfam family: Bacterial large subunit ribosomal RNA (bases 104-403)
Source: RNAcentral
AUUGUUUUUUAAUAAAAACUAGAAUGAAAGGUUAUACAUUCAAAUUUCUUUAUUAAUUUUUUAUAAAUAAUUUAUAUUAAAUAUAAAAAUAUAUUUUUAAAUAAAAAAGACGACAAGACCCUAUUAAAUUUAACUUAUAGUUUAGCUGGGGAAGCUUUUUAAAUAAAAUUUUUAUAUAAUUUUUAAAAAUAUAUUUAAUAAAAUUAAAAAUAAAAUAAAUUACUAUAGGGAUAACAGCGUUAUAUUUUUUAAAAGUUCUUAUUUAAAAAAAUGAUUGCGACCUCGAUGUUGAAUUAUAUUUUCUAUAUUAAUGCAAUAAUUAUAAAAGUAGAUCUGUUCGAUCUUUAAAAUAUUACAUGAUUUGAGUUCAAACCGGUGUAAACCAGGUUGGUUUCUAUCUUUUUAUAUAUAUAUAUAUUUUUUUAGUACGAAAGGAAAAAAAAAUUUUUAUUUUAAUUAUUUAGCAAAUUAAUAUGCAUUAGAUUUAGAAUCUAAAUAAAAUAUUAU